CCAAAUUCCCUCUUCUCUCAAACACUCUCUAAAGCCACUCGAAACCCUAGCCUCAUGUCGUCGUCUCCGACCAAACACACCGGCGUCCAUGGCUUCCCACGCCAUGGACAACCUAUAUCCUCUUCCCUUCACCCCAAACCAUGAUUGUUCAGGGCUUUCGAGGUCCGAUCUUCAACAGACCUGUUCAGGUCCUCCGCCGACCUGUGUUCCUGUGGCUCCUCCAGCUCUGUUCCGGCAUGUUCAAGCUCUUAUAGGCCUAGCCAUGGCUCAUACUUACUCAAGACCAAAUCGUUCCUGGCCUUCUCAUUUAUAGGGUUUCUGAGAAACCCUAAAAGAGCUUGUUCGAG
This 347-nucleotide long non-coding RNA is filed under the name Nicotiana benthamiana. RNAcentral's name for it is "long non-coding RNA (NBEN_LNC036194)". Lineage: Eukaryota; Viridiplantae; Streptophyta; Magnoliopsida; Solanales; Solanaceae. The record is from RNAcentral.